CAGUCGCCACGGGAAUACGUAGGUGGCAAGCGUUGUCCGGAAUUAUUGGGCGUAAAGGGCUCGCAGGCGGUUUCUUAAGUCUGAUGUGAAAGCCCCCGGCUCAACCGGGGAGGGUCAUUGGAAACUGGGAAACUUGAGUGCAGAAGAGGAGAGUGGAAUUCCACGUGUAGCGGUGAGAUGCGUAGAGAUGUGGAGGAACACCAGUGGCGAAGGCGACUCUCUGGUCUGUAACUGACGCUGAGGAGCGAAAGCGUGGGGAGCGAACAGGAUUAGAUACCCCCGUAGUCCCUGUCUCUUAUAC
RNAcentral lists this ribosomal RNA (301 nucleotides) under uncultured bacterium. RNAcentral's name for it is "partial 16S ribosomal RNA". It matches the Rfam family "Bacterial small subunit ribosomal RNA", at positions 509 to 807 of the family's 1533-position model. The record is from RNAcentral.